CACGUAGGGGGCAAGCGUUGUCCGGAAUCAUUGGGCGUAAAGAGCUCGUAGGCGGCUCAGUAAGUCGGGUGUGAAACCCUCAGGCUCAACCUGGGGGACGCCACCCGAUACUGCUGUGGCUAGAGUCCAGUAGGGGAGUGUGGAAUUCCCGGUGUAGCGGUGAAAUGCGCAGAUAGUCGGGAGGAAUACCGGUGGCGAAAGCGACUCUCUGGGCCUUAACUGACGCUGAGGAGCGAAAGCAUGGGGAGCGAACAGG
Molecule: ribosomal RNA, 256 nt
Filed under: uncultured bacterium
Lineage: Bacteria
Description: partial 16S ribosomal RNA
Rfam family: Bacterial small subunit ribosomal RNA
Source: RNAcentral